CACGCCGUAAACGAUGGGUACUAGGUGUAGGAGGUAUCGACCCCUUCUGUGCCGUCGUUAACACAAUAAGUACCCCGCCUGGGGAGUACGGUCGCAAGACUAAAACUCAAAGGAAUUGACGGGGGCCCGCACAAGCGGUGGAGUAUGUGGUUUAAUUCGACGCAACGCGAAGAACCUUACCAAGGCUUGACAUUGAGUGAAAGGCUAAGAGAUUAGCCCCUCUCUUCGGAGACACGAAAACAGGUGG
This 247-nucleotide ribosomal RNA is filed under the name uncultured bacterium. RNAcentral describes it as "partial 16S ribosomal RNA". It matches the Rfam family "Bacterial small subunit ribosomal RNA", at positions 796 to 1041 of the family's 1533-position model. The record is from RNAcentral.